Oncorhynchus tshawytscha (Chinook salmon) is the source of this 4170-nucleotide long non-coding RNA. Lineage: Eukaryota; Metazoa; Chordata; Actinopteri; Salmoniformes; Salmonidae. The record is from Ensembl.
CUACAAUCUGCCAUUGUCACACCAGACUGACCACAGACCUGUAUCACUGAUCAAUUUUUAAAAAUGCAUUCAAAGGAACACCUCAUUCAAAGCAUUGCCAACACCUGCAGUUGGAUAUUUGAUUAGCUGUCAGUGAUGGCGUGAAAUGUUAUAUGUCCAGGUUUCAGCAGGACAAGCAUUGUGCCCCAUCCAUAAGAGAGAGCAGAUUAAGCUUUUCUGUGUGACUUGUGAUCAGCGGACUUGCCGUGAUUACCUCGACUAACCUGUACCAGUUAGCCCAGGAUGCUUUGCCAGAGCAGAGGAAAUGGUUACAGUAUCUAAUGGAGACUUUGAGGACAGAGAGAGUGACCGUGCAACAGGACCUAGAUGGACGGCUGUCUGACUUGGAGGAUCAGCUGGAGAGUGUUGGAGCGGAGGUCAAGGAUAUCCUCAAGGGCAUCUGGAGUGUCCUGGUGAAGAGAGCCAUGCAGCUUUCCAAGGAAAUGCAGCUUUAGGUCAGUGUCCCCAACUGCACUCAGGAAGAUGACAUUGACCUCACCCUUCACCUAGCAAUGAACUCUGCUCUCCUAUAGAGGAGUGUGAUGACCGUAUGGAUGAUUUUCAUGUCGGUGCUGCUGACAGUAUUGAAGAGACUGGGUGCCAGGUGUCUGUUGGGCUUAAUAGCAGGUGUCUUUGCUUCGGAUACCCAUCCUUGGUGCCCCGCCAACCCGCUUCUGCCGCCUCCCAGGUGUCAAAGGGCAGGAAACUGUCGUUCAGCAGUCAGAGUCUCCUUGCUCCUCUAUGUUGAGCCCAGACAGUCUUGAGGCACACCCCGUGCAGCUACGACCCCCUCCUGGCCAGGAGGAAGCUCACCCCUGUGUGUCACGUGUGGACGCCGCUUCCACAGGAAGUGUCACAUUCUGCCCAUCUAUGCCUUAUCCACCACUGUCGGCUGUGCCGGGACCUCUGAUCUAGCGUUGCUGCAGGACUACAGUAGGACUGACAAAGAACUGUGUAUGAGCUUUCCUGACCAAAUGGUGAGCCUUUUUUACUUCGCAGAGCAUGUCUGGGCACGUCUGCUACCUUUCACCUGGAAUAUGCGCAUCUGGGUACAUACGACUGCAUGCCCAGUUCUGUCUACGCAUGUGUGGUAUUGUUUGCUGUGUCCGCAUCUAGUACUUAUUGACCCUGAUCCUAUUUUAGUGGAGAUGGUCUGUUUUUAGAUCCAGGGAAUCAUUUUUGAAUUGAAAAAGACAAGGGUAGAAUCAAAAUGUAAACCAUGUAUUUCUGAUGUGACCGGAUCUUGAUUGGUUAUUUUAACUCACUCAUCCAAAGUUUUUUUUUUUUUUUGUCUGGCCAUUAAAUCACCAUUGCUUCUGUUAGUUUUCCCACUCCAAGGUGCUUGUUUGUCCAGUGUAGUCUACAGCAGUGUUUCUAACUCCAGUUUGCCCAACAGCACACAUUUGUGUUGUUGCCCCAAACAAACUCACCUGAUUCAACUCAUUGAGGGCCUGAUGAUUAGUUGACUCGGGUGUGCUUGUCCAGGGCUACAACAAAUAUUUGUGCUGUUUGGGGUACUGGAAGACUGGAGUUGGGAAACACUGGUGUGUGUGAACCAUCGCUUACCCUUUGGGCUCGACCCUACAGAGAUGUGAGCGCCUACUGCUUGUCCUUUCAUGCAAAAAGUACAGCAUUGUCCUCUACAGACCAGGAAAGGUAAUCGACAAGUGUAACUUAACGCAUUUAUGCAUACAUAUCCUUAGCAUCCCUCUUUUAGUAUUUCCAUAGAUAGUGUUGGCUAUUAAAAUGUCACACAUAAUCACAAGACUUUGAAUAUCGAUGUGAAUUUAAUGUUAAUAAAGAAUGUUGGUGAUGGUGUUCACUGGAAUGUUUAUUGCCAAAUACGUUGCUGACAAAUGACUGGUCCCUUUAAUGAAGAAUGACUUCAAUUGUGUGUGUCAGAUAUACUGUAUACAAUUGCAGUUUGAUGUUAGUCCGUUGUCUUGACUAGAGAAAUAUUGUAUUUUGACUCUCCCUCUCCUUAGCUCUCUUAACAUCGUCCUGAUACGGGGACUGUUGCUGCGGAAACUGCCCCCUCCCCUCACCGCACCCAGUCAGAAUUUGUGUCCAAUGUCUGGCUUCUCCACACACUGUUGAAGAGCGUGAAGUAUUCCAAGUCAGUGGACCGAUUUGAGGCAUGUUUCGGGAGGGAGCUGGUCAAAACGCUUGUGGGGAUCCUGCACCCUUCGCUGCUCGUCAACCCCCACCAAGGGGAAGCGGAGAGGAGUGCAGAACAAGAGGGGGGCAAGGAGAAAGUGUCCAUGAGGAGAAUCCAAGGCCUCUAGAGGAGCACGCAGGCAGAGUUCUUUCACACAGGACUCGAUGAAAGCUGGAGAAUGGCAGCAGAAGGCCGUAUUUGUGUAUUUAAUUUGGUCUUUGAAUUCCUUGGUGAACAUAUUUGUACAUAGUUGCAGCCAAAUAUUGGCACCCUUGCACUUUUUUUUCCUUUAAAAAAAAAAAUUUCUUCUAAAAUAACUUGAAAUUUGGAAAAACCUUUGGUAUCUACACCUUACUGUAUUUUCAACAUUACAGACCCAAUUUACCCAAUUGGUAAAUUUAAGUUUACAAUUUGGCAUGUACAAAAUGAUUGGCAAGUACUUGGUUGCAUAGCCUUUGGCCAAGAACUACAGACAAAUGCUUCUUGUAGGCAUCAGUAAGGUGGCUGCAUCUUAUUACUGGUGAUUUUACUCAGCCUUCAGAAGCAAACUGCUCUAAUUCUUUAAUGUUUGAGGGGUGCCCUCCACCAACUGCUGUUGUCAGCUCUCGCCAUAGGUUAUGGAUGUGGCAACUGCUCGGCCUCGUUCCUGCCAUCCAGGACCUCCUAUACCAGGCGGUGUCAGAGGAGGCCCUAAAAAUUGUCAGACUCCAGCCACCCUAGUCAUAGACUGUUCUCUCUGCUACCACACGGCAAGCUGUGCCAAGUCUAGGUCCAAAGGUCUUAACAGCUUCUACCCCCAAGCCAUAACUCCUGAACAGCUAAUCAAAUGGCUACCCAGACUAUUUUCAUUGCCCCCUUUCCUGCACCUAUUUUAUGCUGCUGCUACUCUCUGUGUAUUAUCUAUACAUAGUCACUUUAACUCUACCUACAUGUACAUAUUACUUCUACUAACCGGUACCUACUCACAUUGACUCUGUACCGGUAGCCCCUGUAUAUAGCCUCGCUAUUUGUUAUUUUACUGCUGCUCUUUAAUCAUUUGUUACUUUUUAUAUAAUUUGGUUGUGUGUGUAUAUAUAAAAAAUAAAAUAUAUAUAUAUUUUUUUUUACUUAACACUUGUUUUUCUUACAAGUUAAGUAAGCAUUUCACUGUAAGGUCAACACCGGUUGUAUUCGGCGCAUGUGACAAAUACAAUUUGAUUUGAUUCAGAUCUGGCCACUCCAGAACAGUCCAGCGUUUCUUCUUGAACCAUUCCAGGGUGCCUUUAUAUUUGUUUGGGGUUGUUGUCCUGCUGAAAUUACCAUCAACCUUCCAACCGAGACCAAGUGUUUGGACACUGGGUUGAACAUUGCACUCCAAAACACCUUCAUAAUCUGCGGUUUUGCUUAUGUACAAGGCCCCAAGCACUAGAGGCAGCAAAGCAACCCCACAGCAUUAUCAAACCUUCCCUAUGUGUGUAGUUAUUUUCUUAAUUUGGUUGUUGGUUAACAUAGGAAGCCCCCCACUGCCGAAGAAGACUCAAGAAAGCCUGAUUGAAUGCUGGACUGUAGUGGAGUGGCCAGCCAAUAUUCCAGAUCUACAUCCCAUCCAAAACCUAUGGUAAGAGCUGAAAAUAGCAGUUGGAAGAAUAAGAGCAAUUUGCUGUGAAGUGGGACAAAUUGCCAGUAGGAAGGUGCAGCAAGCUCAUUGAUGGUACAAGAAGUGUUUGUCUGCAGUUGGCCAAAGGCUGUAAUUUUGUCUGCCAAUUGUUUUUCUUUUCUAAAUUAGUAGUUUGCAAAAAUACAAUGGGUUCUAGAAUGUUGCAAAUCCAAGGUCUGGAGACAAAGUUCUCAAUUUCAAACUAUUUUUGAAGAAAUGGGGAAUUAAUUGAGAAGUGCAAGGGUGCCAACUAGUUUGUUACAAAGUUUAUCCCUUGUGUAAAAAUCAACAAUGUUGCACAUGGUUUGACUUUUGGGAUUUAAUUCACCUUUUGUCU